CCUACGGGUGGCUGCAGUCGGGAAUAUUGCGCAAUGGAGGAAACUCUGACGCAGUGACGCCGCGUGCAGGAAGUAGGUUUUCGGAUUGUAAACUGCUUUAGACAGGGAAGAAAAAGGACAGUACCUGUAGAAUAAGCUCCGGCUAACUACGUGCCAGCAGCCGCGGUAAUACGUAGGGAGCAAGCGUUAUCCGGAUUUAUUGGGUGUAAAGGGUGCGUAGACGGGAAAUUAAGUUAGUUGUGAAAUCCCUCGGCUCAACUGAGGAACUGCAACUAAAACUGAUUUUCUUGAGUGCUGGAGAGGAAAGUGGAAUUCCUAGUGUAGCGGUGAAAUGCGUAGAUAUUAGGAGGAACACCAGUGGCGAAGGCGACUUUCUGGACAGUAACUGACGUUGAGGCACGAAAGUGUGGGGAGCAAACAGGAUUAGAUACCCGAGUAGUC
Molecule: ribosomal RNA, 441 nt
Filed under: uncultured bacterium
Lineage: Bacteria
Description: bacterial SSU rRNA
Rfam family: Bacterial small subunit ribosomal RNA
Source: RNAcentral